GACUGAAACAAAUCACCCCCUCUUUCCUUUUCCCAAGUCACACAUGCCCAGCGGCUGAGAGUUAACAAGCAAGUGACAGCAAAUCAAGGCUGGGCCGAGACCUCCGCGUUUAAAAAUAAGUGUCUGGACUUCCAGGAAGCUUGUUUUGUCUCCUUCUGGCCCCAUCCCCACACUCCCUCCCUGCUUUACUGUCUCUUCGGGGAAGGGAGUGGGCUGGAGUCGUCCCCGGUGAGCAGAAAGGGUUAAUUGCCUCUUGGGUGGAUUAUACCACCCCUGCGAGCUCGCUUGCGGUGUUCUAGGGCUUUUCCUCCACUUUCUUCUCUCUUGCAGGCCGAUUAAACACUCUUUGAGUUGGAACCGGGUUUUGUGUCACAACAGCGCAGCCGCUGCCGGCUGGGUGCCAGGCAGGGAAUAUGCACCGUAUUGAAAUGGGAUGGCUCGGGCCAGGGCCCCCGGAAGGGCCCGGAGCGCUGUUGAGAUGGAGAAGAGCCGCCACUUGGCUCCUUCUGUUCACAGAUAAACGGAUACCCAGGAGGGGCACAGAUCCUUCAAUCAGCCAGUUUCGGGAACCUGAGG
Molecule: long non-coding RNA, 576 nt
Filed under: Dasypus novemcinctus (nine-banded armadillo)
Lineage: Eukaryota; Metazoa; Chordata; Mammalia; Cingulata; Dasypodidae
Description: lncRNA (ENSDNOG00000052781.1)
Source: RNAcentral